This 1418-nucleotide long non-coding RNA is filed under the name Oryctolagus cuniculus (rabbit). RNAcentral's name for it is "lncRNA (ENSOCUG00000035332.1)". Lineage: Eukaryota; Metazoa; Chordata; Mammalia; Lagomorpha; Leporidae. The record is from RNAcentral.
AGCGGCUCUACGCAAAGCUGCAAGGAGGCAGGGAAUCUUUUAUUCAUGCGGAGGGAGCAUGGGGAAUCCGAGCUGCACCCGUGCCUACAGCCAGGCUGGGGUCUCCAGGCCGAUUGGCCUUCCCCACAUAGGCCAGGGUUCCAAGGAAGCGCCUCCGAGGAGAAGCGGACACGGGCAGGGAAGAGAAGUGGGAGGAAACAGCAGUGCAAGGGCCCGGAGGCAGACAGAGCCGGGAGUAUUUGAAGAUGGCCAGGAAAGCCAGGAGCCAGAGGGGGCGGAACCUGCCCAGCACUGGCAGCCGCCCCUCCCCACGCCACCCUGGCCCUGGGCUCCACACCUGUGGACGUGGGGGUCUCGGGCCUCCAGCAUUGCAAGGUCCCUCCCGGCCUCCCCGCCUGCUGGGCCCGGCUUCUCCUGACAAUGUCUAAUAAGGGGUGAUCUGUUAGGAGCCUGGGUGAACCAGGUUGGACAGUCAGCAUCAAUUCCAGCCACCCUCGGUGCCAGGGAGAGAUGGAUGCAUAGAGCCGUGAUCGGGGGAGGGCUGGCAGGGCUGGCGAGGGGAGCCAGGGCACCCUAUUACUCCCCAGGGCACCACCUGGAAUGGCCCCUCCAUUCAAAGAUGGACAUCUGAGGCCGAGGGAGACUGGGUGCGCUCCUGAUCCAUCGCCUGCUCCCCAGCCCCGGGUUCCCGCCUUGGUGAUGCCUGCCCCUGUGGGAUUCCUGCCCAGAUAAGCCCAGUACCUCCCGGGGAACUCUGAUGCUCAGAAGUAAAGCCUUGUGGCUGGGGGCCAGUGCUGUGGGAUAAUAGGUUAAGCCUCUGCCUGUGGUGCUGACAUCCCAUAUGGACGCUGGUUCGAGUCCCAGCUGUUCCACUUCUGAUCCAGCUUCCUGCUAAUGUGCCUGGGAAAGCAGGGGAAGGUAGCCCAAGUGCUUGGGCCCCUGUACCCCCGUAGGAGACCCAGAAGAAGCUCCUGGCUUUGGAUCGGCCCAGCUCCUGGCAUGGUGGCCAUUUGGGGAGUGAACCAGCGAAUGGAAGACCUCUCUCUCUCUCUCUCUACACAUCCCUCUGUAUCUCUGCCUUUCAAAUAGGGUUUCCAAGGACUGCCGAUGAGGGCCAGUCCCUGCCCACCCACAGGCGUGUUCAGGCACUCGCAAAAGACUAGCCAGGACCCGCCACACCCCUGUCCUGGUGGCCCUCCUCUUCCUGAGCGAGGCUGACGGCUGCCCAGGGUGGCCCCCAGCAGUGCCAGUGGUCACUCUGCUGCAGGGUGCUCCCCGAGCCCAGGAGCCGGCGACCGCUGCACUGCAGCCCCGGCAGGGAGGAGCUGUACCUAAUGGAGGUCUCCACAUCUCUGAGUCAGAGAGGAGUCCAGCAGGAGGGCACGGCUCAAACGGUUGUCUAGGACAUCGAAGGACAG